UUACUUACAAUUAGUCGAUCC
Molecule: non-coding RNA, 21 nt
Organism: Caenorhabditis elegans
Lineage: Eukaryota; Metazoa; Nematoda; Chromadorea; Rhabditida; Rhabditidae
Source: Ensembl